GAUGAACGCUGGCGGCGUGCCUAAUACAUGCAAGUCGAGCGAACGGACGAGAAGCUUGCUUCUCUGAUGUUAGCGGCGGACGGGUGAGUAACACGUGGAUAACCUACCUAUAAGACUGGGAUAACUUCGGGAAACCGGAGCUAAUACCGGAGGAUAUUUUGAACCGCAUGGUUCAAAAGUGGAAGACGGUCUUGCUGUCACGUAUAGAUGGAUCCGCGCUGCAUUAGCUAGUUGGUAAGGUAACGGCUUACCAAGGCAACGAUGCAUAGCCGACCUGAGAGGGUGAUCGGCCACACUGGAACUGAGACACGGUCCAGACUCCUUCGGGAGGCAGCAGUAGGGAAUCUUCCGCAAUGGGCGAAAGCAUGACGGAGCAACGCCGCGUGAGUGAUGAAGGUCUUCGGAUCGUAAAACUCUGUUAUUAGGGAAGAACAUAUGUGUAAGUAACUGUGCACAUCUUGACGGUACCUAAUCAGAAAGCCACGGCUAACUACGUG
RNAcentral lists this ribosomal RNA (497 nucleotides) under uncultured bacterium. RNAcentral's name for it is "partial 16S ribosomal RNA". It matches the Rfam family "Bacterial small subunit ribosomal RNA", at positions 28 to 507 of the family's 1533-position model. The record is from RNAcentral.